GCCUCCCUCCGCCGCCACUCAGACUCCGUACGGGAGGCGAGCAGUGGGGAAGUAGUUGGACAAUGGGCGCAAGCCUGAUCCAGCAAUGCCGCGUGAGUGAUGAAGGCUUAGGUUGUAAGCUCUUUCGGCGGGGACGAUGAUGACGGUACCCGCAGAAGAAGCCCGGCUAACUUCGUGCCAGCAGCCGCGGUAAUUC
Molecule: ribosomal RNA, 196 nt
Filed under: uncultured bacterium
Lineage: Bacteria
Description: partial 16S ribosomal RNA
Rfam family: Bacterial small subunit ribosomal RNA
Source: RNAcentral